RNAcentral lists this ribosomal RNA (207 nucleotides) under uncultured bacterium. RNAcentral describes it as "partial 16S ribosomal RNA". It matches the Rfam family "Bacterial small subunit ribosomal RNA", at positions 568 to 774 of the family's 1533-position model. The record is from RNAcentral.
AGCGCAGGCGGGAAGACAAGUUGGAAGUGAAAACCAUGGGCUCAACCCAUGAAUUGCUUUCAAAACUGUUUUUCUUGAGUAGUGCAGAGGUAGAUGGAAUUCCCGGUGUAGCGGUGGAAUGCGUAGAUAUCGGGAGGAACACCAGUGGCGAAGGCGGUCUACUGGGCACCAACUGACGCUGAGGCUCGAAAGCGUGGGGAGCAAACA